AAGGUGUGAGCGUUGAGAAGCUUUGUGUCCUGCAUGCAGCUGGUUGAGUCUCGCGAGAGCGAGACUCACACAGAGACACAGUGAAGAGCCAGUCUGUUGGAUUCUGGUCUGAGGUUCUGCUCGGAGGUUCUGGAUCAUGAGGGAACCAACAUCGAGACCAGCUGCUGUUCUGCUGCUGGUUCUACUGCACAGCUGCCUGGCUGACCAUGUUUUCCUGAACAGCCGACUGGCCUCACAGGUUCUGGUCCGAAAUCGACGAGCCAAUCAGAUGUUUGAGGAGAUUAAACCAGGUAACGUGUCUGCUCUGUGUGUCUCAUUCAGUGUGUUCAUUAGUGUGUAUUAGUGUGUAUUAGUGUGUAUUAUU
Scomber scombrus (Atlantic mackerel) is the source of this 364-nucleotide long non-coding RNA. RefSeq lists it as uncharacterized. The record is from RefSeq and is a predicted model, not a curated record. Lineage: Eukaryota; Metazoa; Chordata; Actinopteri; Scombriformes; Scombridae. The transcript has 4 exons.